UAGCCGACCUGAGAGGGUGAUCGGCCACACUGGAACUGAGACACGGUCCAGACUCCUACGGGAGGCAGCAGUAGGGAAUCUUCCGCAAUGGGCGAAAGCCUGACGGAGCAACGCCGCGUGAGUGAUGAAGGUCUUCGGAUCGUAAAACUCUGUUAUUAGGGAAGAACAUACGUGUAAGUAACUAUGCACGUCUUGACGGUACCUAAUCAGAAAGCCACGGCUAACUACGUGCCAGCAGCCGCGGUAAUACGUAGGUGGCAAGCGUUAUCCGGAAUUAUUGGGCGUAAAGCGCGCGUAGGCGGUUUUUUAAGUCUGAUGUGAAAGCCCACGGCUCAACCGUGGAGGGUCAUUGGAAACUGGAAAACUUGAGUGCAGAAGAGGAAAGUGGAAUUCCAUGUGUAGCGGUGAAAUGCGCAGAGAUAUGGAGGAACACCAGUGGCGAAGGCGACUUUCUGGUCUGUAACUGACGCUGAUGUGCGAAAGCGUGGGGAUCAAACAGGAUUAGAUACCCUGGUAGUCCACGCCG
Molecule: ribosomal RNA, 526 nt
Filed under: Staphylococcus sp. PLB021
Lineage: Bacteria; Bacillati; Bacillota; Bacilli; Caryophanales; Staphylococcaceae
Description: bacterial SSU rRNA
Rfam family: Bacterial small subunit ribosomal RNA
Source: RNAcentral